AUUGAACGCUGGCGGCAUGCCUUACACAUGCAAGUCGAACGGUAACAGGUUAAGCUGACGAGUGGCGAACGGGUGAGUAAUGUAUCGGAACGUGCCCAGUCGUGGGGGAUAACUGCUCGAAAGAGCAGCUAAUACCGCAUACGACCUGAGGGUGAAAGCGGGGGAUCGCAAGACCUCGCGCGAUUGGAGCGGCCGAUAUCAGAUUAGGUAGUUGGUGAGGUAAAGGCUCACCAAGCCGACGAUCUGUAGCUGGUCUGAGAGGACGACCAGCCACACUGGGACUGAGACACGGCCCAGACUCCUACGGGAGGCAGCAGUGGGGAAUUUUGGACAAUGGGCGCAAGCCUGAUCCAGCCAUGCCGCGUGCGGGAAGAAGGCCUUCGGGUUGUAAACCGCUUUUGUCAGGGAAGAAAAGGUUCUGGCUAAUACCUGGGACUCAUGACGGUACCUGAAGAAUAAGCACCGGCUAACUACGU
This 476-nucleotide ribosomal RNA is filed under the name uncultured bacterium. RNAcentral's name for it is "partial 16S ribosomal RNA". It matches the Rfam family "Bacterial small subunit ribosomal RNA", at positions 30 to 506 of the family's 1533-position model. The record is from RNAcentral.